This 52-nucleotide transfer RNA is filed under the name Escherichia coli. It matches the Rfam family "tRNA", at positions 24 to 71 of the family's 71-position model. Rfam says of the family: Transfer RNA (tRNA) molecules are approximately 80 nucleotides in length. Lineage: Bacteria; Pseudomonadati; Pseudomonadota; Gammaproteobacteria; Enterobacterales; Enterobacteriaceae. RNAcentral also lists the same sequence under 4 other names. The record is from RNAcentral.
CAGUUGACUUUUAAUCAAUUGGUCGCAGGUUCGAAUCCUGCACGACCCACCA